UGGAGCGCGAUAUGCAGUAGCUGAGCACUU
This 30-nucleotide non-coding RNA is filed under the name Mus musculus (house mouse). Lineage: Eukaryota; Metazoa; Chordata; Mammalia; Rodentia; Muridae. The record is from RNAcentral.